CUGGCGGCGUGCUUAACACAUGCAAGUCGAACGAUGAUCCCAGCUUGCUGGGGGAUUAGUGGCGAACGGGUGAGUAACACGUGAGUAACCUGCCCUUGACUCUGGGAUAAGCCUGGGAAACUGGGUCUAAUACCGGAUACGACCAUCUGGCGCAUGUCAUGGUGGUGGAAAGCUUUUGUGGUUUUGGAUGGACUCGCGGCCUAUCAGCUUGUUGGUGGGGUAAUGGCCUACCAAGGCGACGACGGGUAGCCGGCCUGAGAGGGUGACCGGCCACACUGGGACUGAGACACGGCCCAGACUCCUACGGGAGGCAGCAGUGGGGAAUAUUGCACAAUGGGCGAAAGCCUGAUGCAGCGACGCCGCGUGAGGGAUGACGGCCUUCGGGUUGUAAACCUCUUUCAGUAGGGAAGAAGCGAAAGUGACGGUACCUGCAGAAGAAGCGCCGGCUAACUACGUGCCAGCAGCCGCGGUAAUACGUAGGGCGCAAGCGUUAUCCGGAAUUAUUGGGCGUAAAGAGCUCGUAGGCGGUUUGUCGCGUCUGCUGUGAAAGACCGGGGCUCAACUCCGGUUCUGCAGUGGGUACGGGCAGACUAGAGUGCAGUAGGGGAGACUGGAAUUCCUGGUGUAGCGGUGAAAUGCGCAGAUAUCAGGAGGAACACCGAUGGCGAAGGCAGGUCUCUGGGCUGUAACUGACGCUGAGGAGCGAAAGCAUGGGGAGCGAACAGGAUUAGAUACCCUGGUAGUCCAUGCCGUAAACGUUGGGCACUAGGUGUGGGGGACAUUCCACGUUUUCCGCGCCGUAGCUAACGCAUUAAGUGCCCCGCCUGGGGAGUACGGCCGCAAGGCUAAAACUCAAAGGAAUUGACGGGGGCCCGCACAAGCGGCGGAGCAUGCGGAUUAAUUCGAUGCAACGCGAAGAACCUUACCAAGGCUUGACAUGAA
This 942-nucleotide ribosomal RNA is filed under the name Paenarthrobacter nitroguajacolicus. Its description in RNAcentral is "bacterial SSU rRNA". It matches the Rfam family "Bacterial small subunit ribosomal RNA", at positions 36 to 990 of the family's 1533-position model. Lineage: Bacteria; Bacillati; Actinomycetota; Actinomycetes; Micrococcales; Micrococcaceae. The record is from RNAcentral.